UCAGGAUGAACGCUAGCUACAGGCUUAACACAUGCAAGUCGAGGGGCAGCAUGUGGUUGCUUGCAACCAAUGAUGGCGACCGGCGCACGGGUGAGUAACGCGUAUCCAACCUCCCCUUAGUAGAGGAUAGCCCGGCGAAAGUCGGAUUAAUACUCUAUGUUCUUCAAUGCGGGCAUCUAAGUUGAAGCAAAGAUUUAUCGCUAAGGGAUGGGGAUGCGUCUAAUUAGGUUGCAGGCGGGGUAACGGCCCACCUGGCCUACGAUCAGUAGGGGUUCUGAGAGGAAGGUCCCCCACACUGGUACUGAGACACGGACCAGACUCCUACGGGAGGCAGCAGUGAGGAAUAUUGGUCAAUGGGCGCGAGCCUGAACCAGCCAAGUAGCGUGCAAGGACGACUGCCCUAUGGGUUGUAAACUGCUUUUAUCAGGGAAUAAAGUGAGGCACGCGUGCCUUUUUGUAUGUACCUGAUGAAUAAGGACCGGCUAAUUCCGUGCCAGCCGCAGC
RNAcentral lists this ribosomal RNA (504 nucleotides) under uncultured bacterium. RNAcentral's name for it is "bacterial SSU rRNA". It matches the Rfam family "Bacterial small subunit ribosomal RNA", at positions 24 to 518 of the family's 1533-position model. The record is from RNAcentral.